RNAcentral lists this ribosomal RNA (330 nucleotides) under Triticum aestivum (bread wheat). RNAcentral describes it as "partial small subunit ribosomal RNA". The record is from RNAcentral. Lineage: Eukaryota; Viridiplantae; Streptophyta; Magnoliopsida; Poales; Poaceae.
AUGUCUAAGUGGGAACCUGUCACAUUUGAGGAAUCUCUUAGCUUUGUUAAGAGAGUUAAGGCCCGUGACUACUUGUUAUACCUGUCACUGCUCAAUGUGCUCACCCGGAGUGAUCAGAUCCCUCUGGAAGCUUACAACGAGCUUUUACUUCUUUUCCGGGAUCACGGAGACCUGCUAGAGGAGCUAGGGAAGUUCAGACCCCUCCCCUCUUUCCCAAGCACUGUGUACAGCCACAACACAAUCUGGAUGUUCAUAUUCCUUAUGCCCUUUCUGCUCCUGAGCCUUCUCCUCGCGUUUGAGAAGCCGUUGGAUAGCUUCCUUCUCCGAUAA